RNAcentral lists this long non-coding RNA (467 nucleotides) under Panax ginseng (ginseng). Its description in RNAcentral is "long non-coding RNA (PGIN_LNC011034)". The record is from RNAcentral. Lineage: Eukaryota; Viridiplantae; Streptophyta; Magnoliopsida; Apiales; Araliaceae.
UUGAGGUUGACCCUAUAUGUGUUCCUUGCUCCAACGAAAGGGAAACUUUCCAUCAUCUAUUUUUCCACUGUAGUUACUCUUUUCAGAUUCUGGUUGCAGUUCUUAGACGCUGUGGUUGGCAUGGGUUCAGUCGUAGUUGGACCUCUAUCACUGAGUUUAUUACUCGCAGCUCCUCCCAAAACUUUCAUCAUAGUCUUUUGCAUUUUGGUUUUGCUAUUGUGGUCUAUAGGAUAUGGCAAGAAUGGAAUGCUAGGAUUUUUACUAAAGUUGUUAGUCCUGCCCGGAACAUUUUCCUUGAUAUUAUUCAUUUGCUCAAGUGUGGUCUCCAUACUAAUGCAAGGUUUCAAAAAAAUUAAAUCCAGGUUAUGUUAUCAACAUCUUGAUUUGUAAGAUUUGCAAGUUUGUAAGUUUUUUCUAGGUUCGUGGGAGGGCGUAUGGAGCUUUGGUUUGAGCUUGUCUAGAUGCAG